AUUGAACGCUGGCGGCAUGCCUUACACAUGCAAGUCGAACGGCAGCACGGGAGCAAUCCUGGUGGCGAGUGGCGAACGGGUGAGUAAUAUAUCGGAACGUGCCCAGUCGUGGGGGAUAACGUAGCGAAAGCUACGCUAAUACCGCAUACGAUCUAUGGAUGAAAGCGGGGGGAUCGCAAGACCUCGCGCGAUUGGAGCGGCCGAUAUCAGAUUAGGUAGUUGGUGAGGUAAAGGCUCGCCAAGCCGACGAUCUGUAGCUGGUCUGAGAGGACGACCAGCCACACUGGGACUGAGACACGGCCCAGACUCUACGGGAGGCAGCAGUGGGGGAAUUUUUGGACAAUGGGCGCAAGCCUGAUCCAGCAAUGCCGACGUGCAGGAUGAAGGCCU
This 390-nucleotide ribosomal RNA is filed under the name uncultured bacterium. RNAcentral describes it as "bacterial SSU rRNA". It matches the Rfam family "Bacterial small subunit ribosomal RNA", at positions 30 to 417 of the family's 1533-position model. The record is from RNAcentral.